CUUUUAAGUUCAAAACUCUGAGGUUCAGAGGCCUACUUGGGUGAUUAGGUGGGGCCAGAUUUUGCCAGGUCACAACCAAGAGGUUAGGGGAGGGGAGGCUGGUGCUUUUACUUAUUUCCCCACCUGCAGCAUUUGACAUCUCUACUCCAGACACUGGGCCAGGCAACAGAUGAAGGAUCAGUUCCAGAGAACAAAUGAGAAGGGAAUGGGAGAGAUGAAACAGGGAGAAGUAAGAUCACAGUUUGGAAUCAAGCUGACCAGGUUGACUAUGGCUCUACAUUUUACCAGCUGGUGACCCAAGACAUGUAUGCAUCUUCGCUGAGAGCCACCCACAUCUCUGUGUCAUCCUGACCUCCCAGACCACAGCUCCAGAAUUUUCCACAGCCCCCUCCAACACACUGCUAAUGGGGGUCAAGCAGACAGCCCCAGCAGAAGUAGAGAGGUGUGCCCCCAGGCAGCCUGCCACCCAAGCAAAAUCAGCCUUGGAAGAACUUGAACAAAGGAAUUUCACCUUGAACUUCAAUCCGUGUCAUCCCUCCCCAGUCGGCCCUGAUCUGGGGCUGUGAUUCAACAUGGCUGACUCAGAUAGAGCUCUGGAUCCCUUGAGCUGAGGUCUGCGGUCAGGCCACUUUGAACUCACUCCAAAAUCUUGGCAAAUCAGGUCACCACUGAAGUCAGGAUGUCAACUCCUGUCCACGCACUGGCUCUGUUGUUUUCCUCACUGACCUGCCUCCACAACCCUCCCCAUCACACCACACCCCAGACCCAUCCCAGGCCCCCCCACACACCCUCUCCCUGCAUCCACCACUUCCUCAGACAACAGGAUCAAUCAUACAACAUCAGUCAACAAAACUACAACCUGGGCUUCCCUAGUGGUCCAGUGGUUCAGAAUCCCCCUUGCAAUGCAAGGGACACAGGUUCGAUCACUGGUACUGAAAGAUCCCACGUGCUGAGGACCAACUAAGCCCACGCGUC
Bubalus bubalis (water buffalo) is the source of this 975-nucleotide long non-coding RNA. RefSeq lists it as uncharacterized. The transcript has 4 exons. The record is from RefSeq and is a predicted model, not a curated record. Lineage: Eukaryota; Metazoa; Chordata; Mammalia; Artiodactyla; Bovidae.